UGACACAUAGUUGGCACUGGCAAUGCACA
Molecule: non-coding RNA, 29 nt
Filed under: Homo sapiens (human)
Lineage: Eukaryota; Metazoa; Chordata; Mammalia; Primates; Hominidae
Source: RNAcentral